RNAcentral lists this ribosomal RNA (105 nucleotides) under Canis lupus familiaris (dog). RNAcentral also lists the same sequence under 1 other name. The record is from RNAcentral. Lineage: Eukaryota; Metazoa; Chordata; Mammalia; Carnivora; Canidae.
GUCUAUGGCCAUACCAGCCUGAACGUGCCUAAUCCCGUCUGAUCUCAGAUGCUAAGCAGGUUUGGGCCUGGUUAGUACUUGGAUGGGAGGAGGGAACCUUCCUCC